UCCGGCGAGCGGGCGAUCGCGGGGAUCCUCGGAUCCUCGAGGAAAGUCCGAGCACGACAGGAUGACGGUGGUGGGUAACGCCCACCGGCCCGUGGACUGCGGGUCAGGGACAGUGCCACAGAGAACAGACCGCCUAUGUGGCUUCGGUCGCAGGCAAGGGUGAAACGGUGCGGUAAGAGCGCACCGCUCGGCCGGUGACGGUCGAGGCACGGCAAACCCCACCGCGUGCAAGCGCAAGCAGUCUCGAGCGGUCCUCGGACCGCACCCGUGAUCCGCGGGCGAGACGGGUAGCGUGCUGGAGGUCAUCGGCGACGAUGGCUCGAGAGACAUGAUCGUCACCCGGAGGGCCUCGUGCCCGACGGGGACAGAACUCGGCUUACAGCUCGUCAGCAGUC
Molecule: RNase P RNA, 395 nt
Filed under: Phycisphaerae bacterium
Lineage: Bacteria; Pseudomonadati; Planctomycetota; Phycisphaerae
Description: RNase P RNA component class A
Rfam family: Bacterial RNase P class A
About the family: Ribonuclease P (RNase P) is a ubiquitous endoribonuclease, found in archaea, bacteria and eukarya as well as chloroplasts and mitochondria. Its best characterised activity is the generation of mature 5'-ends of tRNAs by cleaving the 5'-leader elements of precursor-tRNAs. Cellular RNase Ps are ribonucleoproteins.
Source: RNAcentral